GGCAUCAAUGUGAUAGAUCAGUUGCUGUGGGUUCCACGUGUUCUUGGCCAUAAUUGUGUCAAAGAGAGAUCUUGAAUGGAGAAUCUACUAGUGACAAUGGUACUUCUAAAUACAGAAGGCAUCCCAAAUUACAGAUAAGAAAACAAGACUCAAGAUCUGUGAUUCUAAUAUGCAGGCAAUGUUCCCUGACCUGAGUAUAACUCAGGGUCAUGUGGAGGGCUUGUUGAAAUGCAGCCUGUCGCCGCCGUCCCAUGUCCUGUGCACAUCAACGAGCUUUCAAUCCAGUGAGUCUGGGAAGUGCCUGAGAAUGUACAUUUCUAACAAGUUCCCAAGUGGUGCUGGUGCUGCACGAGAAUGUUUGAAUCCUGAUACCACAACUGGCGUACAAAGCAAUUGCCAAGACUGGAAUCAAGUGACCAGUUGAAAUAGUCACAACUAGAGGUGUUUUUGCCAUAAAAAAAUAUGAAAAUGGCAAACAUAUUUACUGGAAGAAUACUUUGCAAAGAGUUGACUGAAAAACUAUUUAGUUUCAUAAUAGCCCUGGAGCAUGAGUCAGCAAACAGUAAUCAAGUUGUCUUUGAAUCAGGAUGAAGGUGAAUUCAAGUCAUCACCAACACUUGUCGAAUUAUCAUCCUGGCACAAUGUUAACUUAUCGACCAGGUCCCAUGAGGAAAACCCAGCUGGAAAGCAAAUCAUCCAAAGUGAACUACUGAAAUGAUAUGGAAGCUGAGAUUGAGAGUAACUUACCUAAGGUGCUUUUUUGCUUACUUGUCAUCAGUAGCAGUAAGUAUGUUACUUGGAAGAAUUCUAAUGCCUACAGAUACUAAACCAGUGAAACGUUGUUUAGGAUUAUAAAUUUUGUUCUCUCUUACUUUGAAAGGUAUUUAAAUUCAGUACA
Molecule: long non-coding RNA, 898 nt
Organism: Camelus dromedarius (Arabian camel)
Lineage: Eukaryota; Metazoa; Chordata; Mammalia; Artiodactyla; Camelidae
Exons: 6
Source: RefSeq, a predicted model, not a curated record